RNAcentral lists this ribosomal RNA (912 nucleotides) under uncultured bacterium. RNAcentral's name for it is "bacterial SSU rRNA". It matches the Rfam family "Bacterial small subunit ribosomal RNA", at positions 8 to 916 of the family's 1533-position model. The record is from RNAcentral.
AGAGUUUGAUCCUGGCUCAGGAUGAACGCUAGCGAUAGGCUUAACACAUGCAAGUCGAGGGGCAUCACGAGGUAGCAAUACUUUGGUGGCGACCGGCGUACGGGUGCGUAACACGUAUGCAACCUUCCUGUAAGUGUGGGAUAGCCUCCUGAAAGGGAGAUUAAUACCUCAUGAUAUGUAUUUGCUGCAUGGCAUUUACAUUAAACAUUUAUGGCUUACAGAUGGGCAUGCGUUCCAUUAGGCAGUUGGUGUGGUAACGGCUCACCAAACCUACGAUGGAUAGGGGUUCUGAGAGGAAGGUCCCCCACACUGGAACUGAGACACGGUCCAGACUCCUACGGGAGGCAGCAGUGAGGAAUAUUGGUCAAUGGGCGCGAGCCUGAACCAGCCACGUCGCGUGAAGGAUGACGGCCUUAUGGGUUGUAAACUUCUUUUACAGGGGAAUAAAGUGAGUCACGUGUGAUUUUUUGCAUGUACCCUGUGAAUAAGGAUCGGCUAACUCCGUGCCAGCAGCCGCGGUAAUACGGAGGAUCCGAGCGUUAUCCGGAUUUAUUGGGUUUAAAGGGUGCGCAGGCGGAAGAUUAAGUCGGUGGUGAAAUUUUGCAGCUCAACUGUAAAAGUGCCAUUGAUACUGGUUUUCUUGAGUGUGGAUGAAGUAGGCGGAAUUUGUGGUGUAGCGGUGAAAUGCAUAGGUAUCACGAGGAACUCCGAUUGCGCAGGCAGCUUACUAAACCAUAACUGACGCUCAGGCACGAAGGCGUGGGGAUCAAACAGGAUUAGAUACCCUGGUAGUCCACGCAGUAAACUAUGAUUACUCGCUGUUUGCGAUACACAGCAAGCGGCUUAGCGAAAGCGUUAAGUAAUCCACCUGGGGAGUACGUUCGCAAGAAUGAAACUCAAAUGAAUUGACGG